RNAcentral lists this ribosomal RNA (116 nucleotides) under Pteropus alecto (black flying fox). The record is from RNAcentral. Lineage: Eukaryota; Metazoa; Chordata; Mammalia; Chiroptera; Pteropodidae.
GUCUAGGGCCAUGCCACCCUGAACAAACCUGAUAUCUGAUCUCGGAAGCUAAGCAAAGUCAGGCCUGGUUAGUACUUGGAUGGGAGACCACCUAGGAAUUUCAGGUGCUGUAGGCA